UACAGAGGGUGCAAGCGUUAAUCGGAAUUACUGGGCGUAAAGGGCGCGUAGGCGGUGGUAUGUGAGAGAUGUGAAAGCCCUAGGCUUAACCUAGGAAGAGCAUCUCAGACUAUAUGACUAGAGUACAGUAGAGGGUAGCGGAAUUUCCGGUGUAGCGGUGAAAUGCGUAGAGAUCGGAAGGAACGCCGGUGGCGAAGGUGGCUGCCUGGACUGAUACUGACGCUGAGGCGCGAAAGCGUGGGGAUCGAACAGG
This 253-nucleotide ribosomal RNA is filed under the name uncultured bacterium. RNAcentral's name for it is "partial 16S ribosomal RNA". It matches the Rfam family "Bacterial small subunit ribosomal RNA", at positions 524 to 776 of the family's 1533-position model. The record is from RNAcentral.